This 863-nucleotide ribosomal RNA is filed under the name uncultured fungus. Its description in RNAcentral is "eukaryotic LSU rRNA". The stretch from base 490 to 863 matches the Rfam family "Eukaryotic large subunit ribosomal RNA", at positions 1 to 372 of the family's 3401-position model. The record is from RNAcentral. Lineage: Eukaryota; Fungi.
GGUGACCUGCGGAAGGAUCAUUACAGAGAACAUCGCCCUCACGGGUGACUCUCCAACCCUAUGUUAUUAUACCUUUAUUGCUUUGGCGAGCCGCUUCGGCCACCGGCUUACGCUGGUGAGCGCUCGCCAGAGGACCCCAAACUCUGAAUUAAGUAUCGUCUGAGUACUAUAUAAUAGUUUAAAACUUUCAACAACGGAUCUCUUGGUUCUGGCAUCGAUGAAGAACGCAGCGAAAUGCGAUAAGUAAUGUGAAUUGCAGAAUUCAGUGAAUCAUCGAAUCUUUGAACGCACAUUGCGCCCUGUGGUAUUCCGCAGGGCAUGCCUGUUCGAGCGUCAGUACAACACUCAAGCUCAGCUUGGUCUUGAGCCUAGCCGGUCACCCGGCGGGCUUUAAAAUCAGUGGCGGCGCCAUCUGGCUCUAAGCGUAGUAAUACUCCUCGCUAUUGAGUCCUGGUGGAUGCUAGCCAGCAACCCCCAACUUUCUAAGUUUGACCUCGGAUCAGGUAGGGAUACCCGCCGAACUUAAGCAUAUCAAUAAGCGGAGGAAAAGAAACCAACAGGGAUUGCCUCAGUAACGGCGAGUGAAGCGGCAACAGCUCAAAUUUGAAAUCUGGCUCUUUCAGGGUCCGAGUUGUAACUUGUAGAAGAUGCUUCGGGUGUGGCUCCGGUCUAAGUUCCUUGGAACAAGACGUCAUAGAGGGUGAGAAUCCCGUACGUGACUGGUUGCCUUCGCCCAUGUGAAGCUCUUUCGACGAGUCGAGUUGUUUGGGAAUGCAGCUCAAAAUGGGUGGUAAAUUUCAUCUAAAGCUAAAUAUUGGGCAGAGACCGAUAGCGCACAGUAGAGUGAUCGAAAGAUGAAAAGC